This 520-nucleotide ribosomal RNA is filed under the name uncultured Glomus. RNAcentral describes it as "SSU rRNA". It matches the Rfam family "Eukaryotic small subunit ribosomal RNA", at positions 569 to 1089 of the family's 1831-position model. The record is from RNAcentral. Lineage: Eukaryota; Fungi; Glomeromycota; Glomeromycetes; Glomerales; Glomeraceae.
AGCAGCUGCGGUAAUUCCAGCUCCAAUAGCGUAUAUUAAAGUUGUUGCAGUUAAAAGCUCGUAGUUGAAUUUCGGGGUUAGUAGGUUGGUCAUGCCUCUGGUAUGUACUGGUCUCACUGAUUCCUCCUUCCUGAUGAACCUUAAUGCCAUUAAUUUGGUGUUUUGGGGAAUUUGGACUGUUACUUUGAAAAAAUUAGAGUGUUUAAAGCAAGCUAACGCUUGAAUACAUUAGCAUGGAAUAAUGAAAUAGGGCGUUCGAUCCUGUUUUGUUGGUUUCUAGGAUUGACGUAAUGAUUAAUAGGGAUAGUUGGGGGCAUUAGUAUUCAAUUGUCAGAGGUGAAAUUCUUGGGUUUAUUGAAGACUAAUUACUGCGAAAGCAUUUGCCAAGGAUGUUUUCAUUAAUCAAGAACGAAAGUUAGGGGAUCGAAGACGAUCAGAUACCGUCGUAGUCUUAACCAUAAACUAUGCUGACUAGGGAUCGGAUGAUGUUAAUUUUUUUCAAUGACUCAUUCGGCGCCUU